This is a non-coding RNA of Lonchura striata (white-rumped munia), 71 nucleotides long. The record is from Ensembl. Lineage: Eukaryota; Metazoa; Chordata; Aves; Passeriformes; Estrildidae.
ACUCUCAAAGGAUAGAAGUAAUCCAAUGGUCUUAGGAACCAUCCACCUUGGUGCAAAUCCAAGUGAGAGUA